Triticum urartu is the source of this 933-nucleotide non-coding RNA. The record is from RefSeq and is a predicted model, not a curated record. Lineage: Eukaryota; Viridiplantae; Streptophyta; Magnoliopsida; Poales; Poaceae.
GGGAGGUCGGCCAUGGAGGUCCAACGCGGGCCGGUAGCAGCCAUGGACGGACGGAGACGCCCCAAACCCUACCCCGGACGACGCCUCAACCUUCAAGGACGCGCGCCGGCGACCGCAGAUCUCCGGUGACGGCUAUGUUGAGAUGACUGCCCCGGAUCUGGACGCACAACCUGCAGCUGCAGCAGCAGUUGGACGACCGAACGCACGAGCCCUCCCUCCCUCCCUCAUGGUUCUACUUCCUCCUACCCUGCCCCCUCACGUGGGCGUGGUGAGCUUCCUACCCCCCGGUGCACAUCUCAUCUAAUCUCAUCAAAUCUAGAUUUCUCUGGACGUAUUUAUUGUUCUGGACACAACUUGGUUCUCUUCAGUUUGAUGUCACUCCUUUCCUGCCGGAGUGAGUCAGUCAAAUACUCCUACUAGCAGUAUAAGAUGUUUGCCGACUUUGAAAAAUGAUAGAUAGUAAAAAAACGCUAAUGAGGUUGUGCAGCGGCGGACGUAUGACUGCUACCUGCACAAGCGGAUGGCCCUACGAGCCGGACCAACCUCCAGCUGCUGUGGCGUACCACGGGCAGAUUUAUCCCAACGAGGAAACAAUGAGCCCAAAAAUUAAAUUAAAACAAAUCGACGCCAACAGCGAUGGGGGUGAGUAAGCUAUUCAUAUUUCUUUUCGUCUGUGGAUGCAUUGAUGGGGCGCCGACAGACCAUGACGCUUGAAGAUAUGGAGGCGACAAAUCUGUGCCGAUCCCCUCUUGGUGAUAACUCUAGCCGAGCCCCUCUUGGUGACAUUCCUAAUCUUGAGCAUCCUUCCCAAAUGACACAGUGCCCGCGCUAGCAGCAAGAGAAAGAGAAUCAAGUUGGUGGAGAAAUUCAAGCAACAACUGAAAAUGCUAAUAAUGCCAGCAAUGCAUUCAGGAGUUACACAGACUUGCUAAU